UUGAACGCUGGCGGCAGGCCUAACACCUGCAAGUCGAGCGGAUGAAGGGAGCUUGCUCCUGGAUUCAGCGGCGGACGGGUGAGUAAUGCCUAGGAAUCUGCCUGGUAGUGGGGGAUAACGUCCGGAAACGGGCGCUAAUACCGCAUACGUCCUGAGGGAGAAAGUGGGGGAUCUUCGGACCUCACGCUAUCAGAUGAGCCUAGGUCGGAUUAGCUAGUUGGUGGGGUAAAGGCCUACCGAGGCGACGAUCCGUAACUGGUCUGAGAGGAUGAUCAGUCACACUGGAACUGAGACACGGUCCAGACUCCUACGGGAGGCAGCAGUGGGGAAUAUUGGACAAUGGGCGAAAGCCUGAUCCAGCCAUGCCGCGUGUGUGAAGAAGGUCUUCGGAUUGUAAAGCACUUUAAGUUGGGAGGAAGGGCAGUAAGUUAAUACCUUGCUGUUUUGACGUUACCAACAGAAUAAGCACCGGCUAACUUCGUG
This 483-nucleotide ribosomal RNA is filed under the name uncultured bacterium. RNAcentral describes it as "partial 16S ribosomal RNA". It matches the Rfam family "Bacterial small subunit ribosomal RNA", at positions 30 to 507 of the family's 1533-position model. The record is from RNAcentral.